ACGGGUGCGUAACACGUAUGUAACCUACCUUGUUCAGGGGGAUAGCCUCUCGAAAGAGAGAUUAAGACCGCAUAACGUUAUUGAAUGGCAUCGUUUAAUAACCAAAUAUUUAUAGGAACAAGAUGGGCAUGCGGAACAUUAGCUAGUUGGUAAGGUAACGGCUUACCAAGGCUACGAUGUUUAGGGGAUCUGAGAGGAUGACCCCCCACACUGGUACUGAGACACGGACCAGACUCCUACGGGAGGCAGCAGUAAGGAAUAUUGGUCAAUGGGCGCAAGCCUGAACCAGCCAUGCCGCGUGCAGGAAGACGGCCCUAUGGGUUGUAAACUGCUUUUAUACGGGAAUAAACCUUGAUACGUGUAUCAAGCUGAAUGUACUGUAAGAAUAAGGAUCGGCUAACUCCGUGCCAGCAGCCGCGGUAAUACGGAGGAUCCAAGCGUUAUCCGGAUUUAUUGGGUUUAAAGGGUGCGUAGGUGGUUCUUUAAGUCAGGGGUGAAAGACGGCAGCUUAACUGUCGCAGUGCCUUUGAUACUGAAGAACUUGAAUCCACUAGAGGUAGGCGGAAUGUGACAAGUAGCGGUG
This 583-nucleotide ribosomal RNA is filed under the name Mucilaginibacter sp. StTD376. RNAcentral describes it as "bacterial SSU rRNA". It matches the Rfam family "Bacterial small subunit ribosomal RNA", at positions 102 to 683 of the family's 1533-position model. Lineage: Bacteria; Pseudomonadati; Bacteroidota; Sphingobacteriia; Sphingobacteriales; Sphingobacteriaceae. The record is from RNAcentral.